RNAcentral lists this ribosomal RNA (253 nucleotides) under uncultured bacterium. RNAcentral's name for it is "partial 16S ribosomal RNA". It matches the Rfam family "Bacterial small subunit ribosomal RNA", at positions 524 to 776 of the family's 1533-position model. The record is from RNAcentral.
UACGGAGGGUGCAAGCGUUAUCCGGAUUCACUGGGUUUAAAGGGUGCGUAGGUGGGUUGGUAAGUCAGUGGUGAAAUCCCCGAGCUUAACUUGGGAACUGCCAUUGAUACUAUCAGUCUUGAAUACCGUGGAGGCUAGCGGAAUAUGUCAUGUAGCGGUGAAAUGCUUAGAUAUGACAUAGAACACCAAUUGCGAAGGCAGCUGGCUACACGAAUAUUGACGCUGAGGCACGAAAGCGUGGGGAGCAAACAGG